UACAACUUCCAUCUUACAGCUCGUCAGCCACUUCACAGUCUGAGGUCCGAAAUGGAAUUUCGUCCGUCGUCGUGGCGAUCCCGGAAGCCGCCGCCGCCGGCGAAGCAAUCCGAUAUUUACUCCACCUUCGUCAUCCACGACAACGACCGGAAAACCGAUGAGAAAGACAAUUCAGACCUCUAUGCUACUAUGGUUUGCAAAGACGAUGACGAUGACGACGUUGUAGAUGACUUAAACGACGACGAAUCACUUCCUCCUUUACUCAAACGUCUACCUAAGGACUUCGGCGGAGGAGGUGGAGCUAUAGAUUCAGUUUCUGACGAUGAUAUGGCAUCAAUCUCCGGCACGAUGAUUGUGAAAACCGAUCGAAGUUCGAAAUUCACCACUCCUAAACAACCACAGCAGCAGACUGCUCGUUAUAUGUCGUAUUGGGAUCGGGAUGAGAAAAGCCCUGUGAGAAGGAGAUAUGAGGAAGAUGAGGAUGAGGAUGAGGAUGAGGAGGAUGAGGAAGGUAGGUUUUCGACGUUUGUAGUGAAGGAUACUGAGUUUGAUUCGGGGACGAUGGUGAGGAGAACUGUUAGAAGUGGAAGUAAUGAAGGUGUUGGAUCAACUAUGAGCAGAGCAGUGGCUAGUAUGCAGGCAGCAGGGGAGAUUGGAAUUGGGAGGCAGAGGAAUCGUAGCAGUAGAGCGCCCUCUGAUGAGGAAGGUGGUGGUGGUACAUUGAGGCCACAGGGCAGUAAGGUGUCGUCGAGUUCAAUACCGGACAGUGUGACUAGGGAAGAUCCUUGUACUAAGUAUGAAUUGCUCCACGAGCUAGGUAAAGUUUGGUUUCCAUCUUUAUGUGCUUUGAGAUGAUUUCAAUAGUGAAAAUUAUCUGCUCUUGUUAUGCUUUAACCAAUCACUAGAUAUAGUUAGUGCAAUUUGUUAUCUGUGAACCUCAAUUAGUCCUAAAAGAAUUUCUUUUCGGAAGGGGUAAGUUUUAUUGAUGUCAAAAACAAGCACUAAGAAAGUGCUGUAGGUAAAUCCAAAAGGAG
Molecule: long non-coding RNA, 1034 nt
Filed under: Solanum tuberosum (potato)
Lineage: Eukaryota; Viridiplantae; Streptophyta; Magnoliopsida; Solanales; Solanaceae
Description: long non-coding RNA (STUB_LNC005309)
Source: RNAcentral